RNAcentral lists this ribosomal RNA (2725 nucleotides) under Campylobacter jejuni. RNAcentral's name for it is "partial 23S ribosomal RNA". It matches the Rfam family "Bacterial large subunit ribosomal RNA", at positions 364 to 2925 of the family's 2925-position model. The record is from RNAcentral. Lineage: Bacteria; Pseudomonadati; Campylobacterota; Epsilonproteobacteria; Campylobacterales; Campylobacteraceae.
GUGAUAGUCCCGUAUGCGAAAAACAAACCUUAGCUAGCAGUAUCCUGAGUAGGGCGGGACACGAGGAAUCCUGUCUGAAUCCGGGUCGACCACGAUCCAACCCUAAAUACUAAUACCAGAUCGAUAGUGCACAAGUACCGUGAGGGAAAGGUGAAAAGAACUGAGGUGAUCAGAGUGAAAUAGAACCUGAAACCAUUUGCUUACAAUCAUUCAGAGCCCUAUGUAGCAAUACAGGGUGAUGGACUGCCUUUUGCAUAAUGAGCCUGCGAGUUGUGGUGUCUGGCAAGGUUAAGCAAACGCGAAGCCGUAGCGAAAGCGAGUCUGAAUAGGGCGCUUAGUCAGAUGCUGCAGACCCGAAACGAAGUGAUCUAUCCAUGAGCAAGUUGAAGCUAGUGUAAGAACUAGUGGAGGACUGAACCCAUAGGCGUUGAAAAGCCCCGGGAUGACUUGUGGAUAGGGGUGAAAGGCCAAUCAAACUUCGUGAUAGCUGGUUCUCUCCGAAAUAUAUUUAGGUAUAGCGUUGUGUCGUAAUAUAAGGGGGUAGAGCACUGAAUGGGCUAGGGCAUACACCAAUGUACCAAACCCUAUCAAACUCCGAAUACCUUAUAUGUAAUCACAGCAGUCAGGCGGCGAGUGAUAAAAUCCGUCGUCAAGAGGGAAACAACCCAGACUACCAGCUAAGGUCCCUAAAUCUUACUUAAGUGGAAAACGAUGUGAAGUUACUUAAACAACCAGGAGGUUGGCUUAGAAGCAGCCAUCCUUUAAAGAAAGCGUAAUAGCUCACUGGUCUAGUGAUUUUGCGCGGAAAAUAUAACGGGGCUAAAGUAAGUACCGAAGCUGUAGACUUGCACACAACUUAGAUUAUUUAAGUUUAGAAUAUGAGAAACUAAGUUAUAUGUUUAGUUAUAUUUUUACUGAUUUUUAUAGAGUAAAGAUAGAAAUAAAACUUAGUAAAAUCAGUAAAAAUAUUCUUAGACUAAAGUUAAGUAGUUUAAGUUGUGUGCAAGUGGUAGGAGAGCGUUCUAUUUGCGUCGAAGGUAUACCGGUAAGGAGUGCUGGAGCGAAUAGAAGUGAGCAUGCAGGCAUGAGUAGCGAUAAUUAAUGUGAGAAUCAUUAACGCCGUAAACCCAAGGUUUCCUACGCGAUGCUCGUCAUCGUAGGGUUAGUCGGGUCCUAAGUCGAGUCCGAAAGGGGUAGACGAUGGCAAAUUGGUUAAUAUUCCAAUACCAACAUUAGUGUGCGAUGGAAGGACGCUUAGGGCUAAGGGGGCUAGCGGAUGGAAGUGCUAGUCUAAGGUCGUAGGAGGUUGUACAGGCAAAUCCGUAUAACAAUACUCCGAGAACUGAAAGGCUUUUUGAAGUCUUCGGAUGGAUAGAAGAACCCCUGAUGCCGUCGAGCCAAGAAAAGUUUCUAAGUUUAGCUAAUGUUGCCCGUACCGUAAACCGACACAGGUGGGUGGGAUGAGUAUUCUAAGGCGCGUGGAAGAACUCUCUUUAAGGAACUCUGCAAAAUAGCACCGUAUCUUCGGUAUAAGGUGUGGUUAGCUUUGUAUUAGGAUUUACUCCGAAAGCAAGGAAACUUACAACAAAGAGUCCCUCCCGACUGUUUACCAAAAACACAGCACUCUGCUAACUCGUAAGAGGAUGUAUAGGGUGUGACGCCUGCCCGGUGCUCGAAGGUUAAUUGAUGGGGUUAGCAUUAGCGAAGCUCUUGAUCGAAGCCCGAGUAAACGGCGGCCGUAACUAUAACGGUCCUAAGGUAGCGAAAUUCCUUGUCGGUUAAAUACCGACCUGCAUGAAUGGCGUAACGAGAUGGGAGCUGUCUCAAAGAGGGAUCCAGUGAAAUUGUAGUGGAGGUGAAAAUUCCUCCUACCCGCGGCAAGACGGAAAGACCCCGUGGACCUUUACUACAGCUUGACACUGCUACUUGGAUAAGAAUGUGCAGGAUAGGUGGGAGGCUUUGAGUAUAUGACGCCAGUUGUAUAUGAGCCAUUGUUGAGAUACCACUCUUUCUUAUUUGGGUAGCUAACCAGCUUGAGUUAUCCUCAAGUGGGACAAUGUCUGGUGGGUAGUUUGACUGGGGCGGUCGCCUCCCAAAUAAUAACGGAGGCUUACAAAGGUUGGCUCAGAACGGUUGGAAAUCGUUCGUAGAGUAUAAAGGUAUAAGCCAGCUUAACUGCAAGACAUACAAGUCAAGCAGAGACGAAAGUCGGUCUUAGUGAUCCGGUGGUUCUGUGUGGAAGGGCCAUCGCUCAAAGGAUAAAAGGUACCCCGGGGAUAACAGGCUGAUCUCCCCCAAGAGCUCACAUCGACGGGGAGGUUUGGCACCUCGAUGUCGGCUCAUCGCAUCCUGGGGCUGGAGCAGGUCCCAAGGGUAUGGCUGUUCGCCAUUUAAAGCGGUACGCGAGCUGGGUUCAGAACGUCGUGAGACAGUUCGGUCCCUAUCUGCCGUGGGCGUAAGAAGAUUGAAGAGAUUUGACCCUAGUACGAGAGGACCGGGUUGAACAAACCACUGGUGUAGCUGUUGUUCUGCCAAGAGCAUCGCAGCGUAGCUAAGUUUGGAAAGGAUAAACGCUGAAAGCAUCUAAGCGUGAAGCCAACUCUAAGAUGAAUCUUCUCUAAGCUCUCUAGAAGACUACUAGUUUGAUAGGCUGGGUGUGUAAUGGAUGAAAGUCCUUUAGCUGACCAGUACUAAUAGAGCGUUUGGCUUAUCUUUAAUAAAGCAU